Molecule: long non-coding RNA, 2348 nt
Organism: Mus musculus (house mouse)
Lineage: Eukaryota; Metazoa; Chordata; Mammalia; Rodentia; Muridae
Product: predicted gene, 34535
Exons: 3
Source: RefSeq, a predicted model, not a curated record
UGUGGCAGACCUUCCCAGUGGGUGGAAGGGAACCAGACGCCCUACCCCCACUCUUGGGAACCUGUGAUGAUGGGGCAAGUAAGCUCCGGGGUGGAGAGUAGAUCUACUUCACAGCCUUGGAUUUAUUUGAAAACUGGAAAUCACGGUGCUGAUGUAACCAGGGGAACGCAUCCAGUGUCCCAGGGGCUGGCCUCUCAUCCGUGAGUCUACACAACCAACUAAAGAUGUAAACUCCUUGAAGAAACUGGAAUAGAUCAGGACUCCUGUCUCCAGUCCCACACUGCCCUCACUGGAUUUUGUAUGAGAAAUCAGCUCUCCUGGGUCAUCGAGGAACACCAAGUCUCCCUCUUCCAUCAUGUGACUCUGAAGAAUCCAUUAUUGUCCCUUAAACCAAGAAGCCCCAGAGUAUCCAAAUGUCAAGAGUGGAACAAAACAGAAGCAAUAAUCUGGGGGUGGAGGCCCAGUCCCAGCUCCAACUUAAGUGAAAGGAGAAUGGAAAAGUUAUGAUGGUGUCCAGCUUGGAAACUACAAGUGGAAAAGCUCUGCAAGCUGAUGAUAAGAGUCAACAAAGAACAUCACAAACUACUUUCCCUGAUGGAAAUAAAUGCAAAACUUUUAAUAAAAUAUGUGCAAAUUGAAUUUAAAACCACAUUAAGAUCAUACACUAUAAUCAAGUUGAUUUCAUCCCAGGGAUGCAAGAUUUGUUCAACAUAGUUCAAUAAAUGGAUAACACACAAUAGGCUUAAGCACAGAAAUCACAUCAUCAUGCUUACCACUACUAUAAAUAUCCUAUUACUUAUCUUGAGUAAGACCCUUCAUUUCUCUUCUUCAUCAUCCCAUCUUUGAUCAGGUGGAUUACUGAUACUAACGUCUGAAAGUAACUGAGAAUCCUUUAGUUCAAUCUUCCAUUUGUUGGUAAGGAAACUGCAAAUUAGCAAGCUCUAGAGCCCCCCUCCCUCACCUCAGAGCCAGCAGAAGCCACACCUCCAAUUAUGUUCCAGGACUUCUCAACCUCACCAAGAUGUUCCUUAAGACGUGAUUUCUUCAUUUUCUCUUUUUUUAACCCCAAGGCUAGUUUUCCCAUCAGCACUGUUAAUAUACUAUGGAAACAAGCCUGGUAUGCCACGGUGUUGUGGCUUUGCUAAGCAGCAACCUCCUUUGAGCCACUUUCUCUUUUAAGAGUGGCAAGUCUACUUGGCUCUCCUCCAAGGGUAACCCAGUGGGGUACCCAACAGACAGUGCUCAGUCUAUGCAUUAAGCUUGCUAGCAUGUAGAACAAAGAAGCACGGCCUUCUAACAAACACCAAUGAUUGUGUUAAAUGAUCUCCUGUGCAGGUCUUUGCAAACAGUUGAGGCAAUGCCAGCCUUUGCCUCUUUUAUAUCCACUGGCUCCAGGAAAGGGAAGGAAAUGAAGUGGCAUUGAUACAUUCAAAUCCCAAAUUUGUUCUUGUUGUCAGACCAUCAGAUGGUUGCUCAUCUGUGGAUGUUAGCUUUGAGUCCUUAGAUGUGUGUGUGUCCUGCCUGUUAGAGACUGUCCUCUGAGCCUAGUCAGAUGCCCCCCUCUGUAGCUGCUUCUGGUUACAGCUUUUACUUUUUCUCCAGCCUUAUCCUAGAAGCAGCUUACUUUGUUGUCUCAGGACUCCCCUGCUUAGGUGAAGAGCCCACCAAAGGUCGUCUGCCAUCAGAUUAACUCGGUUUCCUCAGAGACAUGGCUGCAUCUGCUCAAUUCUUUUAGUCAUGUAAGAUAAUCAUUUGUGGGAGUGAUGGUCCAUGUUAUUUACAGGCUCCACACAUACAUACAGAAGAGUCACACAGAGCACGUACAGCAUAGGGCAGAACUCUUUGUACCGUCUUCAAAAUUCUGACUAUCAAAAUGUGUGUAUAUUUUAGCUUCCCUUCAAACUCAUAAGCUUCUUCAUAGAGUGGAUAAGAACUGAAUUAAUGAAACAACUCAUGGAAAUGAGUUUCCAGGUUUUAAGUGUCUCUAGUUUAUAUCAGUUUAUGUUGAGACACUCUGACAUAAACUGUAAUUAAGCAUAGGUCUCCAUAAAUAAAAGGUAGUUUGCAGCAAUGAUUUGUCAAUAUGACUGACACUUUUAGGAAGUGAAAUUAUAUAAAGCCAGCAUAAUGACUAAUUCUGUCUCCAAGAUAGCCUAUUCACCAAGAAUUUAUGGGUUAACAACCUCGUGUGAACUGAACAACCUCUGAGAUUUUAUGGAGUACCAAGUUAGACAUCAUCUUUUUUCUCAAGAAGCUCGCAAAGUAGUGUUGGGGAAUGCUAUAAAACAGAACAAGUAUUACACAAUACCAGACAGGAUUAGUGAUGUCUUCAGCUAACCCGAGGGAUG